Long non-coding RNA from Sorghum bicolor (sorghum), 952 nucleotides. RefSeq lists it as uncharacterized. The transcript is spliced from 2 exons. The record is from RefSeq and is a predicted model, not a curated record. NCBI's taxonomy places the organism in Eukaryota, Viridiplantae, Streptophyta, Magnoliopsida, Poales, Poaceae.
CCCUCUCCCGCAUUGACUGCGCCUCCCCUUCCCUCCACUCCCUAAUCGCCUAAGAGCAACUCCAGCCCAGCAUACAAAGCCGACGCAGCGUUCUCGGGCCCGCCGGACACGCCGCCGCGCCGCUCGCUCGUCGCCGUGCUGUUCCUCUGGGAGGAGGUGCCCGGGAAGCCCAAGGAGGCGUCGCCAACGCUGGCCCCGUUCCCCAAGGCGACCACUCCUGCUCCGGCUCCGGCUGCUGCCAACAGUGGCCCCGUUCGCCAAGGCGACACUGGCGGUGAGCACGACAGCAGCGGCCACGCGCGUCCGCUGCCGCUCAAGUUGCCCCCGCGGCUGCAGCUGGUGUCAGCGUCGUUCGCCAAGACCGUGUCCCCCAAGCCCAAGGAGGCGCCGCUGUGACCUGGGGUGCCGCGCCGCCGCCGGAAGACAGUCUAAAUUCAGCAACAGUGACAGAGAAUAAAAUGGCUAAAAGGAUUGUCCUGAUUUGGAAGUAUAUCCAGAAGCAUAUCCAAACACUGCUUGACUGUCUCGGCCCUAUAUAUUUGCAAUGGCAACAUACAGUUCAAAGAUGAAAUGUGCAAGGUCAUGAAAAUUGGACUGCUCUGUGUAUCGGCCCUAUAUAUCUGAUCUUGAGAAGUUCAUUCCAGGUAGCAGUUAGCUGGGUCUGAAACACAGCAUGGUGAUUGCUAAAGCUUGUAACUGUAGUAGCCUUUUACUCUGAAUGAGAAAGUGCUGGCUGCUGUCAAUUUGUCUCUGGCAUUUUUUUUUAUGUUUAUGACUUUCCAGGUAGCAGCUAGCUAGGUCUGAAACACAGCAUGGUGAUUGCUAAAGCUUGUAACUGUAGUAGCCUUUUGCUCUGAAUGAGAAAGUGCUGGCUGCUGUCAAUUUGUCUCUGACAUUUUUUUUUAUGUUCAUCACUUGCUAGUCCCAUCAUGGGUGGGGUUCACUUUCAUUC